CCUUAGAGUUUGAUCCUGGCUCAAGAUGAACUCUGGCGGCGUGCUUAACACAUGCAAGUCGAGCGAAGCAUUUUGGAUGAAGUUUUCGAAUGGAUUCUGGAAUGACUGAGCGGCGGACGGGUGAGUAACGCGUGGAUAACCUGCCUCAUACAGGGGGAUAACAGUUAGAAAUGACUGCUAAUACCGCAUAAGCGCACAGGACCGCAUGGUCUGGUGUGAAAAACUCCGGUGGUAUGAGAUGGGUCCGCGUUGGAUUAGGGAGUUGGCGGGGUAACGGCCCACCAAACCGACGAUCCAUAGCCGGCCUGAGAGGGUGGACGGCCACAUUGGGACUGAGACACGGCCCAAACUCCUACGGGAGGCAGCAGUGGGGAAUAUUGCACAAUGGGGGAAACCCUGAUGCAGCGACGCCGCGUGAGUGAAGAAGUAUUUCGGUAUGUAAAGCUCUAUCAGCAGGGAAGAAAAUGACGGUACCUGACUAAGAAGCCCCGGCUAACUACGUGCCAGCAGCCGCGGUAAUACGUAGGGGGCAAGCGUUAUCCGGAUUUACUGGGUGUAAAGGGAGCGUAGACGGCUGUGCAAGUCUGAUGUGAAAGGCAGGGGCUCAACUCCUGGACUGCAUUGGAAACUGUGUAGCUUGAGUGCCGGAGAGGUAAGCGGAAUUCCUAGUGUAGCGGUGAAAUGCGUAGAUAUUAGGAGGAACACCAGUGGCGAAGGCGGCUUACUGGACGGUAACUGACGUUGAGGCUCGAAAGCGUGGGGAGCAAACAGGAUUAGAUACCCUGGUAGUCCACGCCGCAAACGAU
This 806-nucleotide ribosomal RNA is filed under the name uncultured bacterium. RNAcentral describes it as "bacterial SSU rRNA". It matches the Rfam family "Bacterial small subunit ribosomal RNA", at positions 1 to 810 of the family's 1533-position model. The record is from RNAcentral.